UGGGGAAUAUUGCACAAUGGGCGCAAGCCUGAUGCAGCCAUGCCGCGUGUAUGAAGAAGGCCUUCGGGUUGUAAAGUACUUUCAGUCGGGAGGAAGGUGGUAAGGUUAAUAACCUUAUCAAUUGACGUUACCGACAGAAGAAGCACCGGCUAACUCCGUGCCAGCAGCCGCGGUAAUACGGAGGGUGCAAGCGUUAAUCGGAAUUACUGGGCGUAAAGCGAGCGCAGGCGGUUUCUUAAGUCUGAUGUGAAAGCCCCCGGCUCAACCGGGGAGGGUCAUUGGAAACUGGGAGACUUGAGUGCAGAAGAGGAGAGUGGAAUUCCAUGUGUAGCGGUGAAAUGCGUAGAUAUAUGGAGGAACACCUGUGGCGAAGGCGGCUCUCUGGUCUGUAACUGACGCUGAGGCUCGAAAGCGAGGGGAGCAAACAGG
Molecule: ribosomal RNA, 429 nt
Filed under: Chloroflexota bacterium
Lineage: Bacteria; Bacillati; Chloroflexota
Description: Chloroflexi bacterium partial 16S ribosomal RNA
Rfam family: Bacterial small subunit ribosomal RNA
Source: RNAcentral